This 27-nucleotide non-coding RNA is filed under the name Mus musculus (house mouse). The record is from RNAcentral. Lineage: Eukaryota; Metazoa; Chordata; Mammalia; Rodentia; Muridae.
UGCACUGCAAGGUCGCAAGGUCGCAAG